UACAGAGGGGACAAGCGUUGUUCGGAAUUACUGGGCGUAAAGGGCGCGUAGGCGGCCUUCUAAGUCGAACGUGAAAUCCCCGGGCUCAACCCGGGAACUGCGUCCGAUACUGGAAGGCUUGAAUCCGGGAGAGGGAUGCGGAAUUCCAGGUGUAGCGGUGAAAUGCGUAGAUAUCUGGAGGAACACCGGUGGCGAAGGCGGCAUCCUGGACCGGCAUUGACGCUGAGGCGCGAAAGCCAGGGGAGCAAACGGG
Molecule: ribosomal RNA, 253 nt
Filed under: uncultured bacterium
Lineage: Bacteria
Description: partial 16S ribosomal RNA
Rfam family: Bacterial small subunit ribosomal RNA
Source: RNAcentral